This 274-nucleotide ribosomal RNA is filed under the name uncultured bacterium. RNAcentral's name for it is "partial 16S ribosomal RNA". It matches the Rfam family "Bacterial small subunit ribosomal RNA", at positions 523 to 796 of the family's 1533-position model. The record is from RNAcentral.
AUACGUAGGGUGCAAGCGUUGUUCGGAAUUACUGGGCGUAAAGCGUGCGUAGGCGGCUUUGUAAGUCCGUUGUGAAAUCCCACGGCUCAACUGUGGAACUGCAAUGGAUACUGCAAAGCUAGAGUUCGGGAGAGGCAAGCGGAAUUCCUGGUGAAGGGGUGAAAUCCGUAGAUAUCAGGAAGAACACCGGUGGCGAAGGCGGCUUGCUGGAACGCAACUGACGCUCAGGCACGAAAGCGUGGGGAGCAAACAGGAUUAGAUACCCCAGUAGUCC